ACUGGGCGUAAAGCGCACGCAGGCGGUUGGAUAAGUUAGAUGUGAAAGCCCCGGGCUCAACCUGGGAAUUGCAUUUAAAACUGUCCAGCUAGAGUCUUGUAGAGGGGGGUAGAAUUCCAGGUGUAGCGGUGAAAUGCGUAGAGAUCUGGAGGAAUACCGGUGGCGAAGGCGGCCCCCUGGACAAAGACUGACGCUCAGGUGCGAAAGCGUGGGGAGCAAACAGGAUUAGAUACCCUGGUAGUCCACGCUGUAAACGAUGUCGACUUGGAGGUUGUGCCCUUGAGGCGUGGCUUCCGGAGCUAACGCGUUAAAUCGACCGCCUGGGGAGUACGGCCGCAAGGUUAAAACUCAAAUGAAUUGACGGGGGCCCGCACAAGCGGUAAUCGAA
This 388-nucleotide ribosomal RNA is filed under the name uncultured bacterium. RNAcentral's name for it is "bacterial SSU rRNA". It matches the Rfam family "Bacterial small subunit ribosomal RNA", at positions 553 to 940 of the family's 1533-position model. The record is from RNAcentral.